ACCGGCGGCUCGAGUGGUGGCCACUAUUACUGGGCUUAAAGCGUUCGUAGCUGGCUUGUUAAGUCUCUGGGGAAAUCUUACGGCUCAACUGGAAGGCGUCUCAGGGAUACUGGCAGGCUAGGGACCGGAAGAGGUGAGAGGUACUCCAGGGGUAGGAGUGAAAUCCUGUAAUCCUUGGAGGACCACCUGUGGCGAAGGCGCCUCACCAGUACGGAUCUGACAGUGAGGAACGAAAGCUAGGGGCGCAAACCG
RNAcentral lists this ribosomal RNA (252 nucleotides) under uncultured prokaryote. RNAcentral describes it as "partial 16S rRNA". It matches the Rfam family "Archaeal small subunit ribosomal RNA", at positions 475 to 726 of the family's 1478-position model. The record is from RNAcentral.